Non-coding RNA from Nematolebias whitei (Rio pearlfish), 487 nucleotides. The record is from the annotation of a RefSeq genome assembly. NCBI's taxonomy places the organism in Eukaryota, Metazoa, Chordata, Actinopteri, Cyprinodontiformes, Rivulidae.
AUGACUCUCAGCACCAUCCUCAUGUGGACGCUGCUCUGCUGCUGCUUCACAGGAUGCAGCGGUCAGGUGACGGUGACUCAAACUCCAGUACAGACGUUUACUCCAGGAUCCACUGUUACCCUGACAUGUACUACUAGUUCUGCAGUUUACAGAUGGAAUAAUGGUAAUGAGGGAAUGUCUUGGUAUCAGCAGACACCAGGACAGCCUCCAAAGCUCCUCAUAUAUUAUGUUAAACAACGCCAAUCAGGAAAUCCAGCUCGGUUUAGUGGCAGUGGAAGUGGCUCUGGUUUCUCUCUGAUCAUCAGUGGAGUUCAGGCUGAAGAUGCUGCAGUUUAUUACUGUCAGAGUUUCCAUGUCAUUAAUGGUGCCUAUGUGUUCACACAGUGAUUUAUGGUGGUACAAAAACCUCCUUCAGUCAGACUGCAGACGCUCUGAGCUGUUAGAGCAGAAACUGCAGCUGCAGAAGAGGAAGACUCUGAUACAGACA